Molecule: ribosomal RNA, 467 nt
Filed under: uncultured bacterium
Lineage: Bacteria
Description: SSU rRNA
Rfam family: Bacterial small subunit ribosomal RNA
Source: RNAcentral
GAUCCUGGCUCAGAUUGAACGCUGGCGGAAUGCUUUACACAUGCAAGUCGAGCGGCAGCGCGGUCUUCGGACUGGCGGCGAGCGGCGAACGGGUGAGUAAUACAUCGGAACAUGCCCAGUCGUGGGGGAUAACACUUCGAAAGAAGUGCUAAUACCGCAUACGUCCUGAGGGAGAAAGCGGGGGAUCGCAAGACCUCGCGCGAUUGGAGUGGCCGAUGUCAGAUUAGCUAGUUGGUGGGGUAAAGGCCUACCAAGGCAACGAUCUGUAGCUGGUCUGAGAGGAUGAUCAGCCACACUGGGACUGAGACACGGCCCAGACUCCUACGGGAGGCAGCAGUGGGGAAUUUUGGACAAUGGGGGCAACCCUGAUCCAGCCAUUCCGCGUGAGUGAAGAAGGCCUUCGGGUUGUAAAGCGCUUUCGGCAGGAACGAAACGGUGAGCUCUAACAGAGCUCGCUAAUGACGUAC